This 89-nucleotide microRNA precursor is filed under the name Podarcis lilfordi (Lilford's wall lizard). The stretch from base 9 to 82 matches the Rfam family "mir-183 microRNA precursor family". Lineage: Eukaryota; Metazoa; Chordata; Lepidosauria; Squamata; Lacertidae. The record is from RNAcentral.
CACUCCUGUCCUGUCUAUGGCACUGGUAGAAUUCACUGUGAAAAGACUCUAUCAGUGAAUUACCAUAGGGCCAUAAACAGAGCAGAGAA